Molecule: ribosomal RNA, 301 nt
Filed under: uncultured bacterium
Lineage: Bacteria
Description: partial 16S ribosomal RNA
Rfam family: Bacterial small subunit ribosomal RNA
Source: RNAcentral
CAGUCGCCGCGGUAAUGCAGAGGGAGCUAGCGUUGUUCGGAAUUACUGGGCGUAAAGCGCACGUAGGCGGCUUUGUAAGUUAGAGGUGAAAGCCUGGAGCUCAACUCCAGAAUUGCCGUUAAGACUGCAUCGCUCGAAUCCAGGAGAGGUGAGUGGAAUUCCGAGUGUAGAGGUGAAAUUCGUAGAUAUUCGGAAGAACACCAGUGGCGAAGGCGGCUCACUGGACUGGUAUUGACGCUGAGGUGCGAAAGCGUGGGGAGCAAACAGGAUUAGAUACCCGAGUAGUCCCUGUCUCUUAUAA